AUGGCAUCAGAGCCUUCUCACCACCCUUCCAAAAUUUGUUCAAAAUUUUGCCCAAUUUUUUUCCCUCGCACCAUUCUCUCCACCAGCAUGCAUCCCAAGUUGAAAGCUUGCCUUGACGAGUUCAAGGCGAAGGCUCAGGCACGCUUCGAGGCCAGUGCCAGGCUGUUCACGCAGCACGACGAGCUGCUCUCCAAGCUCCUCACGGGAGCUUCGACCCCGCAGCCGGCGCGCUCUGCGGUCGUGGCCUCCAAUGGCGACCUCACUGUCAACGCCACUGUCGUGGCGGUCGUCCCCGACACCUCUUCCUUUGCCACCAAGGCCCAAGAGGUCAUCGCACCCCCCUAUGGUGCGUUCCUGGACUCCAUCGAUCUGAUGCCCAUGACCUGUUCGAUGGCUGGCUCGACCCAAGUCGCAUGUGCUACGAACGCCAACGAGGUCCACAACGUCACCACAUCCGUCCGCCUUGAGCCUUUGGUCGCCCACAUCCACCAGGAGGUCGACGCCGAGAUCGUCACCCCGGUGGCAACCACCACCGAUGUCUUCUCUGCCACUACCCAAGCCCAAGAGGCCCCCACGUCCGCCAAUGAUUCAUCCCCAGUUUCCAUUGAGAUGAUGGCCGUCACCUGCUCGACGGAGUGCUUGACCCAAGAAGUAGAGCAACUCAUGCCGGAGUCUUCUAUCAGCACCAACACCGCUACUUCCGAGGUUCUGUCCUCUGCGCCCGUCACCUCCGACAUCAUCCCAAGUGUUGCCACGGCAGCCAAUCCAGUGCCGACGAAGUGCUUGGCAGAAACCCAUGUCUACGCAAAUGACUCUGUGCAACUUCUGAUCGCCGCCAUCGACAGUGCCGACGAGACACAUGCCACUGCCACCACUGAGAGCUUUGAACAUCAACCAUGGCCACCGCCUGUAGAAGUGCAGACCAGUCACAUGGGACAACUUUUCAGGCCUAGCCCGUGGCUGUCGUUCAGACCUCUAUCAGUCACAAGCUACCCGGAAGAGACAUGUUCAAGUAUCCAUAGUCAAUCACAUAGAGGUUCCUUCUUUAGUCCUUGGUUAGUUUCGUUGAUGUUCAGAGAUGUUCACCUGGAGAAGCAUGGUAAUGGAACUGAUACAAUCAUGCCGUGCACCAGUGGAAUUCAACAUAAUGUGCCUGAACGUUUAAGUGAAAUUGCAAGGAGAUGUUCGGUUGAUGUUCAGAUAUGUUCACCGGGAGAUGGUCUAGCAAUCGCAAGGGAGUCCGAUGUUCCUAUGAAAAUCAGAAAAAUGGAUAAAGGCUCCGUGGGUUCAAGUGUGGCUGUAGAUGUAAUCUCUCUUACAAGAUGUGCAACAUGCAAAUAUCAAUUUUCAAGAGAUUCAAGCAUGACUGAUUUUCCGGCUGGAUCAGAAGUUGAAAACGAAGAUGAAUAUUAUGAAUGGAAUACAACUCCUGGAUUGGUUGGGUGUGAAGCUAGCUUAAACCUCCAGAGUAUAGACGAAUGCUCAGCAGACACUGACAGCGAAACUGAUAAAACAUCUGACAGUUGCGAGUUUCUUGGUGAUUUGAACCCCUCAUCUCUUCAGAAGUACUCCCUACUUAUGUCUGAACUAGAAUCCCAAUUUGCAUAUUCCAGAAAGGUGGACAACUUAUUCAAAAAUGGUGUUCUGCUGCUAGUUGAUAACUCUUGCUUGGUAAAUUCAGUAUGCUUUGUACCUGGUCAUCAGAAUGAUCUUGCUGUUACUAAUGUCGAUGGCAUGCUCAAGUCGACUGCUGAAGAUAACUGCAGUACACGCAUUUUAAUACAGGGAAAUGCAUUGCGUUUUCCCUGUGAGGCUAGACCUGAACAGCAUGAGGACAUAUGCAACAGAGAGACUGCCGCUGGAGUUUCUACAAAUUUGCAAGUGCAAGAGCAUGCUGCCAUAUGCAACUUUCCUACAUCCGACCAUCAGUCAAGGAUGAAAGAAAACUGCAAGAAAUGCUACCUUAUACUCCAUUGCAGAAUUUUCUGGUCUCUUCAGUGGAGCAGUAAACCAUGGUCUUCUGGACAUCUUGAAUCUUAUCUGAAUUCUUACUCAAUUAGCGUCACUCUGAAUUGCAACUAUGGGCAUUUGUAUGUGCAGCUUGAGAAGUUAUGGGCCACUGGAAUUGAGGGAGAGAUAUUUGGUCAAAACUGUACUUCCUGCUGCGUCUGGGAUCUUGGAGCCGAGCCAAGGAAUUCAAAGGAUAGUUCUGCACAGUUUCACAAAGUCCAGUCUAGGUGCAACCUCAAAUGGCCCAUUCCAGCAGCUCCAUUCACAAAUGUGCAUCAACUACUUGGACAUAUGAGUUCGCUUUGCUUUGGUUUUAUUCAAGGAGUUUCCUGUGAUUAUGGUUCUUCUACUUCUGCUUGUACUCUCUACAUUGGUUAUCAAUCCCCGGUGGCCUUCAUUCCAUCCGCAAGAACUGCUCCUUAUGUUGUGUGGUCUACAAGAUAUAUGCAGAUCGUCUUUGAAGGAUCACAUGAGGGUCUAAUUCUUCAUACAGAAUUCAGAAGCUAUAUGCGAACUAAUUCAGAGUCUCUGCACCUCAUUGGAGUUCUUGGGGAAUUGACUCAAUCUUGGAGCUUUACUGAUCAUGUCAGUACCUUGUCAAGCUAUUGGUGGUGUUUCUCUUGGGGACCAGAUUGGGAUCCAGGAGGACCGCUCUUGGAUGUUUCAUCCCCAAUUUCAACUAGUAUGCACACUCCAUCUCCAGAAGAAAGCAUGGAAUGCACGGGCUCAAAAUGGUUACCACCAAAGGGGACUGCCACUGGUAUGGAACAAGAUGAAAAUAAUAUUGGUAUCCACCUCAACCUCGUUCAAGUACACCUUGACAAUGGCUACUUCCGCGACAAAUACCACGAAAAAUCUGACAUGAUCAAGGAUCUUCAAGCACCCUGGGACCCUGGUGAGCCCUGCAUGAAAGCGGCUUGGGGUCAAGCCGAAUCUCAAGGGGUAGGGGAUGUCAGCGACCCAAUUACGGCCACAGAAGCCCAUGGGCCGGGCCUGGUUGAGUGCCACAUGAAGGGAGGCCUGACUACAAGUAUCCACGUAGGAAGCAGCGAAGAGGCAUCCGGGCUUGGAUCAGGCAAAGGCAACGGCGGCUCUCUCCUUACCCUUAUCUUCUCCUACCUGCUAUUCUUCCUCCUCCCUCCUUCCCCAAAUCCAUGUAUCUGA
Molecule: ribosomal RNA, 3174 nt
Filed under: Triticum aestivum (bread wheat)
Lineage: Eukaryota; Viridiplantae; Streptophyta; Magnoliopsida; Poales; Poaceae
Description: partial small subunit ribosomal RNA
Source: RNAcentral